UUACGCUGUUAUCCCUAAGGUAAUUUAGUCUUAUAAUCAACAAAAAUGGAUCAAAAAACUAUAUAUAAAUAUAAAAAAUUAAAAAGAGUUUAUUAAAUCUUUCUAUCACCCCAACAAAAUAAAUUAUAAAAUCAAUAAUAAUAUAUUAACAAAUACAAAUUAUACAAUAUAUUAAACUCUAUAGGGUCUUCUCGUCCCACAAAUAAAUUUAAGUAUUUUAAACAUUAAAAUAUAAAUUACAAAUAAAUUUACAAGAAACAGUUUAAUUCCUCGUCCAACCAUUCAUUCAAGCUACAAUUAAAAGACUAAUGAUUAUGCUACCUUUGCACGGUCAAAAUACCGCGGCCCUUUAAAAAUAUAUCAGUGGGCAGGUCAUACUUCAAAUUAUUAAUCAAGAAGAGAUGUUUUUGUUAAACAGGCG
Molecule: ribosomal RNA, 421 nt
Filed under: Melanozosteria soror
Lineage: Eukaryota; Metazoa; Arthropoda; Insecta; Blattodea; Blattidae
Description: partial 16S ribosomal RNA
Source: RNAcentral